This 1444-nucleotide ribosomal RNA is filed under the name uncultured organism. RNAcentral describes it as "SSU rRNA". It matches the Rfam family "Bacterial small subunit ribosomal RNA". The record is from RNAcentral.
GGCUUAACACAUGCAAGUCGAGGGGCAUCAGGAAGAAAGCUUGCUUUCUUUGCUGGCGACCGGCGCACGGGUGAGUAACACGUAUCCAACCUGCCCUUUACUCGGGGAUAGCCUUUCGAAAGAAAGAUUAAUACCCGAUAGCAUAAUGAUUCCGCAUGGUUUCAUUAUUAAAGGAUUCCGGUAAAGGAUGGGGAUGCGUUCCAUUAGGUUGUUGGUGAGGUAACGGCCCACCAAGCCUUCGAUGGAUAGGGGUUCUGAGAGGAAGGUCCCCCACAUUGGAACUGAGACACGGUCCAAACUCCUACGGGAGGCAGCAGUGAGGAAUAUUGGUCAAUGGGCGCUAGCCUGAACCAGCCAAGUAGCGUGAAGGAUGAAGGCUCUAUGGGUCGUAAACUUCUUUUAUAUAAGAAUAAAGUGCAGUAUGUAUACUGUUUUGUAUGUAUUAUAUGAAUAAGGAUCGGCUAACUCCGUGCCAGCAGCCGCGGUAAUACGGAGGAUCCGAGCGUUAUCCGGAUUUAUUGGGUUUAAAGGGAGCGUAGGUGGACUGGUAAGUCAGUUGUGAAAGUUUGCGGCUCAACCGUAAAAUUGCAGUUGAUACUGUCAGUCUUGAGUACAGUAGAGGUGGGCGGAAUUCGUGGUGUAGCGGUGAAAUGCUUAGAUAUCACGAAGAACUCCGAUUGCGAAGGCAGCUCACUGGACUGCAACUGACACUGAUGCUCGAAAGUGUGGGUAUCAAACAGGAUUAGAUACCCUGGUAGUCCACACAGUAAACGAUGAAUACUCGCUGUUUGCGAUAUACAGUAAGCGGCCAAGCGAAAGCAUUAAGUAUUCCACCUGGGGAGUACGCCGGCAACGGUGAAACUCAAAGGAAUUGACGGGGGCCCGCACAAGCGGAGGAACAUGUGGUUUAAUUCGAUGAUACGCGAGGAACCUUACCCGGGCUUAAAUUGCAGUGGAAUGAUGUGGAAACAUGUCAGUGAGCAAUCGCCGCUGUGAAGGUGCUGCAUGGUUGUCGUCAGCUCGUGCCGUGAGGUGUCGGCUUAAGUGCCAUAACGAGCGCAACCCUUAUCUUUAGUUACUAACAGGUUAUGCUGAGGACUCUAGAGAGACUGCCGUCGUAAGAUGUGAGGAAGGUGGGGAUGACGUCAAAUCAGCACGGCCCUUACGUCCGGGGCUACACACGUGUUACAAUGGGGGGUACAGAAGGCAGCUAGCGGGUGACCGUAUGCUAAUCCCAAAAUCCUCUCUCAGUUCGGAUCGAAGUCUGCAACCCGACUUCGUGAAGCUGGAUUCGCUAGUAAUCGCGCAUCAGCCACGGCGCGGUGAAUACGUUCCCGGGCCUUGUACACACCGCCCGUCAAGCCAUGGGAGCCGGGGGUACCUGAAGUACGUAACCGCAAGGAUCGUCCUAGGGUAAAACUGGUGACUGGGGCUAAGUCAUAAC